This 809-nucleotide long non-coding RNA is filed under the name Homo sapiens (human). RNAcentral's name for it is "HSALNT0173423". The record is from RNAcentral. Lineage: Eukaryota; Metazoa; Chordata; Mammalia; Primates; Hominidae.
AAGAGUCAACCAGGAGAGAAAGGAAGGGCGUUCCAAGGAGAGAAAACAGCAGAAGCAAAGGCACAGAGGAAAGAAAGGAGAUGGCAUGUUCAAAUAAGGGAAAUUCAUUGAGGCAGCAAGGGAGAGAGGGAAGGGUACAUCAGGCCAGGCCAUAAGGGAAGCAUUUCUUGACAAAAUACGAGUUUAGACUUUGUCCUGCAGGACAACUUUUCCCAAGACCUGUUCUGUAAAGCAUUCACCGUGGAAGAUGUAAGGCGCCGCUUCAUGAACAAAACCAGCACACCAGUAAAUUUGGGAAGUGCUGGGUUGAGCUAAGUUAAAUUUUGUAUUGUAAUGAAAGUCCUUAGAUAUGAACAAGAAAACUGGAAAUAGAAAAUUCAUUGUCGCGGAUUCGAGCCAAGAUGGCCAAUUAGGAACAGCUCCCAUCUGCAGCUCCCAGCGUAAGCAAUGCAGAAGAUGGGUGAUUUCUGCAUUUCCAUCUGAGGUACCAGGUUCAUCUCACUAGGGAGUGCAAGACAGUGGGUGCAGGACAGUGGGUGCAGCGCACCAUGCACGAGCUGAAGCAGGGCGAGGCAUUGCCUCACUCGGGAAGCACAAGGGGUCAGGGAGUUCCCUUUCCUAGUCAAAGAAAGGGGUGACAGAUGGCACCUGGAAAAAUCGGGUCACUCCCAGCCCAAUACUGCGCUUUUCUGACGGGUUUAAAAAUGGCACACCAGGAGAUUAUAUCCCGCACUUGGCUCGGAGGGUCCUAUGCCCACGGAGUCUCGCUAAUUGUUAGCACAGCAGUCUGAGAUCAAACUGCAAGGCGG